GCCUAGCUAGCGCAAUAGCAGCGCGCCAGAGUCUCAUCAUACUCUGAAGGUUGUGGGUUCGAUUCCCAUGUUGGGGU
Tuber magnatum (white Piedmont truffle) is the source of this 77-nucleotide non-coding RNA. The record is from the annotation of a GenBank genome assembly. Lineage: Eukaryota; Fungi; Ascomycota; Pezizomycetes; Pezizales; Tuberaceae.